RNAcentral lists this transfer RNA (74 nucleotides) under Candidatus Bathyarchaeota archaeon. RNAcentral's name for it is "tRNA-Val". It matches the Rfam family "tRNA". Rfam says of the family: Transfer RNA (tRNA) molecules are approximately 80 nucleotides in length. Lineage: Archaea; Thermoproteati; Candidatus Bathyarchaeota. The record is from RNAcentral.
GGGCCGAUCGUCUAGAUGGUUAGGACGCCUGCCUGACGCGCAGGAGGUCGUCGGUUCGACUCCGACUCGGCCCA